RNAcentral lists this ribosomal RNA (253 nucleotides) under uncultured bacterium. Its description in RNAcentral is "partial 16S ribosomal RNA". It matches the Rfam family "Bacterial small subunit ribosomal RNA", at positions 524 to 776 of the family's 1533-position model. The record is from RNAcentral.
UACAGGGGGUGCAAACGUUGCUCGGAAUCAUUGGGCGUAAAGCGCACGUAGGCGGCUUGGCAAGUCGGAUGUGAAAUCCCUCGGCUCAACCAAGGAAGUGCAUCCGAAACUGCUGAGCUUGAGUACUUAAGAGGAUCGCGGAAUUCCCGGUGUAGAGGUGAAAUUCGUAGAUAUCGGGAGGAACACCAGUGGCGAAGGCGGCGAUCUGGGAAGAUACUGACGCUGAGGUGCGAAAGCGUGGGGAGCAAACAGG